RNAcentral lists this ribosomal RNA (507 nucleotides) under uncultured bacterium. RNAcentral's name for it is "bacterial SSU rRNA". It matches the Rfam family "Bacterial small subunit ribosomal RNA", at positions 19 to 518 of the family's 1533-position model. The record is from RNAcentral.
CUGGCUCAGGAUGAACGCUAGCUACAGGCUUAACACAUGCAAGUCGAGGGCAGCAUAUCGAAGCUUGCUUGAUAGAUGGCGACCGGCGCACGGGUGAGUAACGCGUAUCCAACCUUCCCAUCACUCAGGGAUAGCCCGCCGAAAGGCGAAUUAAUACCUGAUGGUCUCCUUCGCGGACAUCUAACGAGGAGUAAAGAUUUAUUGGUGAUGGAUGGGGAUGCGUCUGAUUAGGUAGUAGGCGGGGUAACGGCCCACCUAGCCGACGAUCAGUAGGGGUUCUGAGAGGAAGGUCCCCCACAUUGGAACUGAGACACGGUCCAAACUCCUACGGGAGGCAGCAGUGAGGAAUAUUGGUCAAUGGACGGAAGUCUGAACCAGCCAAGUAGCGUGCAGGAUGACGGCCCUAUGGGUUGUAAACUGCUUUUGUGCGGGAAUAAAGUAUGGGACGUGUCCCAUUUUGCAUGUACCGCACGAAUAAGGACCGGCUAAUUCCGUGCCAGCCGCCGC